Molecule: long non-coding RNA, 1015 nt
Organism: Salvia miltiorrhiza (redroot sage)
Lineage: Eukaryota; Viridiplantae; Streptophyta; Magnoliopsida; Lamiales; Lamiaceae
Exons: 2
Source: RefSeq, a predicted model, not a curated record
AGGUCGAUGGGGAGCUAGAGAUGAGGAAGAGGGAGAGAGGUUGAGGAGAGGACAAGGGGAGGCAGAGCCGCCGGCCUCCGGCGACGGCGCUGCCGUCCGGUGGCGGCGGCAGGAAGGGGGCCGAGGGAGAGAGAAAAGGGAAGUGGGGGCUGCGUGAGUUUUGUGAGCAAUUAGGGUGUGGAUGUGUGUAAAUUAGGGGAGUUGGAAGAGUGGACUUGGGCUUGGGCCUAGGAUAGUUUGUUUUUAAAUGGGCUCAGAUUUAUGAAAUGAUUGGGCUAUAAUUUGAUUAAUUAUUGCACUAAUUUAUUUUAUCAAAAGGCUUGCAUUUGCAUAUUAUUUUACAAAGAAUGUCAUAUUUGGACUUCAUAUUUUAAUUUUCAUUAUUAAGUUGGACUUGAUUUUAUUAAAUCCCAACUCAAAUUUUUAAUAAGAGCCUGCAUUUUAUUAUUUGAUUCAUUAGACCAACUAUUUCCAAAUUAUUUUAUGAUAAUAAAUUCUUAAGAUUUAAACUACUAUUAUUAUUAUUUUAAAGUUCAAUUAGGCCCUUAUAUUUUAUUAUUUGAAUUUAUCUGACUAGGUGCGGCGCGACUAGGACGUAUAUUUUGAUUGAAUUACUCAUAAUUAGCUUUCAAGUUGAAGUUCAAAAUUCAGGUGUGGGAUUUAUUUCAGUACAUGCCGUGGUUAAUUUUUGUCCAUUUUAAUAUCAUGUGUUUACCAUAUGUGAGUUGCAUUAAAUUAUAUCGCUAGGGGCCCGCUCAAUGGGUCCAGGACUUCACAGUCCUUGGUAUGCCACAAUGCGAUUUCAUGUUAAAGUUAUGGUUGCAACCAGUCGCCAGGGCCCGGCUCAAUCGGUCCAGGACGGAAAGGUCCUUGGUUUUAAAGACCGGAGGCGCGUGGAAGGUCGAAUGGCGAAUCAAAUAUUUUGAAUUUAGCAUUACUUAAAAAUGUUAUUUUGAGUAAAGUAUGUUUAAAUAAAAAUUUACUUCCUGAUUUUCUCUUUAAAUAUUUAUUUAUA